This 501-nucleotide ribosomal RNA is filed under the name uncultured bacterium. Its description in RNAcentral is "partial 16S ribosomal RNA". It matches the Rfam family "Bacterial small subunit ribosomal RNA", at positions 29 to 523 of the family's 1533-position model. The record is from RNAcentral.
AUUGAACGCUGGCGGCAUGCCUUACACAUGCAAGUCGAACGGCAGCACGGGUGCUUGCACCCGGUGGCGAGUGGCGAACGGGUGAGUAAUACAUCGGAACGUACCUUAUCGUGGGGGAUAACGCAGCGAAAGCUGUGCUAAUACCGCAUACGCCCUGAGGGGGAAAGCGGGGGAUCGCAAGACCUCGCGCGAUUAGAGCGGCCGAUGCCUGAUUAGCUAGUUGGUGGGGUAAAAGCCCACCAAGGCGACGAUCAGUAGCUGGUCUGAGAGGACGAUGAGCCACACUGGGACGGAGACACGGCCCAGACUCCUACGGGAGGCAGCAGUGGGGAAUUUUGGACAAUGGGGGCAACCCUGAUCCAGCAAUGCCGCGUGAGUGAAGAAGGCCUUCGGGUUGUAAAGCUCUUUUGUCAGGGAAGAAACACCGGCUCUAACACAGUCCGGGAAUGACGGUACCUGAAGAAUAAGCACCGGCUAACUACGUGCCUGCAGCCGCCGCAG